UGCAAGUCGAGCGGACAGAAGGGAGCUUGCUCCCGGAUGUUAGCGGCGGACGGGUGAGUAACACGUGGGUAACCUGCCUGUAAGACUGGGAUAACUCCGGGAAACCGGAGCUAAUACCGGAUAGUUCCUUGAACCGCAUGGUUCAAGGAUGAAAGACGGUUUCGGCUGUCACUUACAGAUGGACCCGCGGCGCAUUAGCUAGUUGGUGGGGUAAUGGCUCACCAAGGCGACGAUGCGUAGCCGACCUGAGAGGGUGAUCGGCCACACUGGGACUGAGACACGGCCCAGACUCCUACGGGAGGCAGCAGUAGGGAAUCUUCCGCAAUGGACGAAAG
Molecule: ribosomal RNA, 335 nt
Filed under: Bacillus safensis
Lineage: Bacteria; Bacillati; Bacillota; Bacilli; Caryophanales; Bacillaceae
Description: bacterial SSU rRNA
Rfam family: Bacterial small subunit ribosomal RNA
Source: RNAcentral